AGUGCUGAGCCCUGGGCAAGUGUCUCCAGACAUCCCUACCUUUUCUCCCUUUUAUUAGUCUUCUUUCCCAACAGAACCCAUUUCCUUUGCCACUAAAACUAGGUUGCAUCCAAAAGUUUCUAAACAAGCUUUAAAAAGAAAAAAAUGACACCAUUAUACAGAAGAAUUCACAAAAGCUGCAGAGCACCAGGGCAGAGAAGCAGCGACAGACACAGGCCCAGGACACACAGGACGGAUGCUUCCAAGUCACUCGAGGGACACCUGUGUCUCAUGCCUGUGUCUCAGAAGUUGCUUCCCCUGCCUCUGCUCUGUGAAUUUCCCAAACUCUCUAACUCUGAUUCAUCUUCAUUCACUCUUCUCUGUAGUUUGUGUGUAAAGAGCCCUUAAAGCCCUUAAAGCAAUACGGUGGAGGGUUAGAGUUGUGAGCCGGUGGCAGGCAAGGCCUAAACUUGGUGGUACAGCAAAGGAAAUUUCGUGGUACUUGCUCCUGAGUCUGGGAAUCACAGGCUAUCCAGCCUCUCCCCUAUUACUAAGAAACAGUAGAACUUAGGGAAAUGGAUGAUUCCACGUUUAAGAGGCUUGAAAUUGUAUACUUGGCAUUUCUGAUUUCGGCUCUAAGAUUCUGUCCCUUCGCCCUAGAGAAAAUGAGAAAUGUAGUUACAACUUUUCAUUACAAAAACGUUGCAUUAAGAGAAAUGGAGAAUCAUGCCCACAUAAAACAUGUAUAAAAGUGUUCGUGAUUUGAUCAGGGCUGGGGAUAUAGCUCAGUCAUGGGGCGCUUGCACAGCCAUGUGCAUAACCCAAGGUUCAAGCCCCAGCACUGACAAAGAGAAGCAGAAGGAGCAGAGGUAUUCACAGCAGCCUUUUCCAUAUAGGCAUGAAAGGGAGAGUUUAAGUGCCGGUUGAGGAAUGGAGAGUGUAAAAUGGCUUGUCUAUAAAACUGGAUUCUGGUCAUCAGUAGAGAGGUUUGAAGUGAUCGAUAUGGUGGAUGAGUCUUUAAACUUCUUCUUAAGUCAUGAAGCCAACCAGAAGGAAAGGCAGAUACUCCGUAUCUCUGGAGUACAUAGGCAUACCAUUGUAGAGAAAAAGCACCAUACUUGUUACCUGGACGUGGAGUGAUGAACAGACUUUGGGAGACAGCAGAGUGGAACAGGAUUUACUUGAGCGGUGAUAAAAAAAAUGUUCUUGAAUGAACUCAAGUGAUGCUUGCUCCACUUGAUCGCUGCGUUAAAAAAACCACUGAAUUUUACCUUUGGAUGGGUGAAUCAAAUGGUACAUUCAUUACAGUUCAAUAAAGCCAUGAAUAU
This 1307-nucleotide long non-coding RNA is filed under the name Mus caroli (Ryukyu mouse). RNAcentral's name for it is "predicted gene 11266 (MGP_CAROLIEiJ_G0003516.1)". The record is from RNAcentral. Lineage: Eukaryota; Metazoa; Chordata; Mammalia; Rodentia; Muridae.